GAUGAACGCUGGCGGCGUGCCUAAUACAUGCAAGUCGAGCGAACGGACGAGAAGCUUGCUUCUCUGAUGUUAGCGGCGGACGGGUGAGUAACACGUGGAUAACCUACCUAUAAGACUGGGAUAACUUCGGGAAACCGGAGCUAAUACCGGAUAAUAUUUUGAACCGCAUGGUUCAAAAGUGAAAGACGGUCUUGCUGUCACUUAUAGAUGGAUCCGCGCUGCAUUAGCCAGUUGGUAAGGUAACGGCUUACCAAGGCAACGAUGCAUAGCCGACCUGAGAGGGUGAUCGGCCACACUGGAACUGAGACACGGUCCAGACUCCUACGGGAGGCAGCAGUAGGGAAUCCUCCGCAAUGGGCGAAAGCCUGACGGAGCAACGCCGCGUGAGUGAUGAAGGUCUUCGGAUCGUAAAACUCUGUUAUUAGGGAAGAACAUAUGUGUAAGUAACUGUGCACAUCUUGACGGUACCUAAUCAGAAAGCCACGGCUAACUACGUG
Molecule: ribosomal RNA, 497 nt
Filed under: uncultured bacterium
Lineage: Bacteria
Description: partial 16S ribosomal RNA
Rfam family: Bacterial small subunit ribosomal RNA
Source: RNAcentral